CCUCCUUUCUUCCUCCUUUCUUCCUCUUUCCCCCUUUUGUGCCCCCUGCUGCCGCGACGCCGCGUGAGUGAAGAAGUAUUUCGGUAUGUAAAGCUCUAUCAGCAGGGAAGAAAAUGACGGUACCUGACUAAGAAGCCCCGGCUAACUACGUGCCAGCAGCCGCGGUAAUACGUAGGGGGCAAGCGUUAUCCGGAUUUACUGGGUGUAAAGGGAGCGUAGACGGCAGAGCAAGUCUGAAGUGAAAGCCCGCGGCCCAACUGCGGGACUGCUUUGGAAACUGCCCGGCUAGAGUGCUGGAGAGGUAAGCGGAAUUCCUAGUGUAGCGGUGAAAUGCGGAGAUAUUAGGAGGAACACCAGUGGCGAAGGCGGCUUACUGGACAGUAACUGACGUUGAGGCUCGAAAGCGUGGGGAGCAAACAGGAUUAGAUACCCCUGUAGUC
RNAcentral lists this ribosomal RNA (440 nucleotides) under uncultured bacterium. Its description in RNAcentral is "partial 16S ribosomal RNA". It matches the Rfam family "Bacterial small subunit ribosomal RNA", at positions 377 to 795 of the family's 1533-position model. The record is from RNAcentral.